Non-coding RNA from Ricinus communis (castor bean), 107 nucleotides. The record is from Rfam. NCBI's taxonomy places the organism in Eukaryota, Viridiplantae, Streptophyta, Magnoliopsida, Malpighiales, Euphorbiaceae.
AGUCCAUGGUGUGGGCAACAUCGUAGUAGGUCCUUGUACCUCUCCUAGGUGUCAUACAUCGACUCAUCAUCAAACUGCACAAAAGAAGAUAUGUCAUUUCUAAGUUU